This 568-nucleotide ribosomal RNA is filed under the name uncultured Basidiomycota. RNAcentral's name for it is "LSU rRNA". It matches the Rfam family "Eukaryotic large subunit ribosomal RNA", at positions 37 to 602 of the family's 3401-position model. Lineage: Eukaryota; Fungi; Basidiomycota. The record is from RNAcentral.
AGCAUAUCAAUAAGCGGAGGAAAAGAAACUAACAAGGAUUCCCCUAGUAACUGCGAGUGAAGCGGGAAGAGCUCAAAUUUAAAAUCUGGCGUGCUUCUGGCCGUCCGAGUUGUAGUCUGGAGAAGCGUUUUCCGCGUUGGACCGUGUAUAAGUCCCUUGGGAACAGGGCGUCACAGAGGGUGAGAAUCCCGUCUUUGACACGGACUGCCAAUGCUUUGUGAUGCGCUCUCAAAGAGUCGAGUUGUUUGGGAAUGCAGCUCAAAAUGGGUGGUAAAUUCCAUCUAAAGCUAAAUAUAGGCGAGAGACCGAUAGCGAACAAGUACCGUGAGGGAAAGAUGAAAAGCACUUUGGAAAGAGAGUUAAACAGUACGUGAAAUUGCUGAAAGGGAAACGCUUGAAGUCAGUCACGUCUGCCAGGACUCAGCCUUGCUUCUGCUUGGUGUACUUUCUGGUUUGAUGGGCCAACAUCAAUUUUGACCGUUGGAAAAAGGCAUGGGAAUUGUGGCACCUUCGGGUGUGUUAUAGCCCAUUGUUGUAUACGACGGUUGGGAUUGAGGCUCGCUCGACC